GAUGAACGCUGGCGGCGUGCUUAACACAUGCAAGUCGAACGGAAAGGCCCAAACUUGCUUGGGUACUCGAUUGGCGAACGGGUGAGUAACACGUGGGUGAUCUGCCCUGCACUUCGUGAUAAACCUUGGAAACUGGGUCUAAUACCGGAGAGGACCACAUGUUGGGUGGUGUGGUGGAAAGUAUCUCGGUGUGGGAUGAGCUCGCAGCCUAUCAGCUUGUUGGUUGGGUAAUGGCCUACCAAGGCGUCGACGGGUAGCCGGCCGGAGAGGGUGUACGGCCACCUUGGGACUGCGGUACGGAGCAGUAUCCUAUGGGAGGCAGCAGUGGGGAAUAUUGCACAAUGGGCGCAAGCGUGUUGCAGAGACGUCGCGUGGGGGAUGACGGCCUUCGAGUUGUAAACUCAUUUCGAUCGAGCCGAAGCGCACUUGACGGUACCUGAUGAGAAAGCCCCGGCUAACUACGUG
Molecule: ribosomal RNA, 465 nt
Filed under: uncultured bacterium
Lineage: Bacteria
Description: partial 16S ribosomal RNA
Rfam family: Bacterial small subunit ribosomal RNA
Source: RNAcentral